This 441-nucleotide ribosomal RNA is filed under the name uncultured bacterium. RNAcentral describes it as "partial 16S ribosomal RNA". It matches the Rfam family "Bacterial small subunit ribosomal RNA", at positions 338 to 795 of the family's 1533-position model. The record is from RNAcentral.
CCUACGGGAGGCAGCAGUGGGGAAUAUUGGACAAUGGGGGGAACCCUGAUCCAGCGACGCCGCGUGAGUGAAGGAGUAUUUCGGUAUGUAAAGCCCUAUCAGCAGGGAAGAACAAUGACGGUACCUGACUAAGAAGCACCGGCUAAAUACGUGCCAGCAGCCGCGGUAAUACGUAUGGUGCAAGCGUUAUCCGGAUUUACUGGGUGUAAAGGGAGCGCAGGCGGCGCGUUAAGCCUGGUGUGAAAGUCCGCGGCCCAACCGCGGGACUGCAUUGGGAACUGGCGCGCUGGAGUGCCGGAGGGGUAGGCGGAAUGCCUAGUGUAGCGGUGAAAUGCGUAGAUAUUAGGAGGAACACCAGUGGCGAAGGCGGCCUACUGGACGGUGACUGACGCUGAGGCUCGAAAGCGUGGGGAGCAAACAGGAUUAGAUACCCGUGUAGUC